Molecule: microRNA, 22 nt
Filed under: Shrimp white spot syndrome virus
Lineage: Naldaviricetes; Nimaviridae
Description: wssv-mir158
Source: RNAcentral
CUUCAUCCUCCUCCUCCUCAUC